RNAcentral lists this ribosomal RNA (301 nucleotides) under uncultured bacterium. Its description in RNAcentral is "partial 16S ribosomal RNA". It matches the Rfam family "Bacterial small subunit ribosomal RNA", at positions 509 to 809 of the family's 1533-position model. The record is from RNAcentral.
CAGUAGCCGCGGGAACACAGAGGGUGCGAGCGUUAAUCGGAUUUACUGGGCGUAAAGCGUGCGUAGGCGGCUUUUUAAGUCGGAUGUGAAAUCCCUGAGCUUAACUUAGGAAUUGCAUUCGAUACUGGGAAGCUAGAGUAUGGGAGAGGAUGGUAGAAUUCCAGGUGUAGCGGUGAAAUGCGUAGAGAUCUGGAGGAAUACCGAUGGCGAAGGCAGCCAUCUGGCCUAAUACUGACGCUGAGGUACGAAAGCAUGGGGAGCAAACAGGAUUAGAUACCCCUGUAGUCCCUGUCUCUUAUAA